GAUGAACGCUAGCUACAGGCUUAACACAUGCAAGUCGAGGGGAAACGAUAUUGGAGGCUUGCUUCCGAUAGGCGUCGACCGGCGCACGGGUGAGUAACGCGUAUCCAACCUGCCCAUCACUUGGGGAUAACCUUGCGAAAGUAAGACUAAUACCCAAUGAUAUCUCUAGAAGACAUCUGAAAGGGAUUAAAGAUUUAUCGUUGAUGGAUGGGGAUGCGUCUGAUUAGCUUGUUGGCGGGGUAACGGCCCACCAAGGCGACGAUCAGUAGGGGUUGUGAGAGGAAGGGCCCCAACAGUAGAACUGAGAGACGGUCCAAACUCCUACGGGAGGCAGCAGUGAGGAAUAUUGGUGAAUGGAGGAGCGUCUGAACCAGCCAAGUAGCGUGCAGGAUGACGGCCCUAUGGGUUGUAAACUGCUUUAUAAGGGAAUACAGUGAGCCUCGUGAGGCUUUUUGCAUGUACCUUAUGAAUAAGGACCGGCUAAUUCCGUGCCAGCCGCCGCAGUAA
Molecule: ribosomal RNA, 507 nt
Filed under: uncultured bacterium
Lineage: Bacteria
Description: partial 16S ribosomal RNA
Rfam family: Bacterial small subunit ribosomal RNA
Source: RNAcentral